Oenanthe melanoleuca is the source of this 2799-nucleotide long non-coding RNA. RefSeq lists it as uncharacterized. The transcript has 4 exons. Lineage: Eukaryota; Metazoa; Chordata; Aves; Passeriformes; Muscicapidae. The record is from RefSeq and is a predicted model, not a curated record.
CUCCUUCUUCUCUUCUCCUUCCCCACUUCCCUUUACAGCCCAGGGUUGCUCUCCCCCUCUCUGCCUCCUAGAUGACCCAGGCAGCUGGUGUCAUGAUUCUUGAUGAAAGCCAAAAUGGGUCAUGAGCAGAGAGAGCAGCAGAUCCACCAGCCAAGCUUCCAGGGAGCUUUGUAAUGCGUGCCGUCGAAACGCUGUCCUGUAACCUAAUCUGGGGGAGAUUUGUGGAUGAUUAUGUUUGUGAACGCAUCCUGUCCAGCUAGGAGCAUAUUCCAGGAAGGGAGUGCUCCGCUGCCUGGCCAGCAGGGUGGACCUUGCCGUCACAGCCCAGGGGCUGGAGGCAGGAGGAUCUGACUUCUUCCAGCCUUCCGGGGUGACGUCCGACAAGCCCCGGUCACUCUCGCUCUUUGAGUCCUCCCAGCUGUGAGUGUUGCAGAAGCUUCCUGGUCCGCAGGAUAUGUAUCUUCACCCUGACAUUUGACUCUGCAGCAACAUCCAAGCAAGCAGUUUCCCAUUAAUGGCAAAUCAAAAGAGUUAAUGUCACUGCAAGCAGUGUGCCCUGAUACCAAGGAGUAGAGAUGGUUGCUUUGUUUGACCAAGAAUUAGUGGCCAUUCAACUUACACUCAAGAAAUUUUAAAAGGCUUGGUGCUUGUUUUUCUUUCAGUGCCAUACUCUUUCUCAUUUCUCCUCUGCCCUUGCUCCUUUGUAAACUUUACACUGAUAAACUUUAUCUCAGAGCUUAAUUUUCCUGCUAACUUUGGGGGAGGAAAAGAUAGUAUUUCCAAAACUAAUUUCUCUGACUUCCUAAAUACAUAUUUUAAAACUCACCUGUCCUCAGGAUCAAACAGAUUAACCAUUCUAAAUAUAUUACAUACUCUCCACCUCCAGAAAGGGUACAAUUACGCUUUGGGGAAAAGCAGAAUUUUGGGAGACAAGACAAAAAGUCACCAAGAUUCAGAGGUGCUUUGAGAUGAAAAUAUUGUUUUGUGGAAGUUUCAGUGUGUUGUCCUGGCUUCAGCUAAGCACCACUAUAGCACAGGCUUUAUCUUUUCUCCUCUCAAAAAAACCUGUUGGUUUUUAAGAGGGAGAAGGAAAAGAAAGGGUUGUGCAAACCUGGAGUGUUCAUCAUAAUGGCAUCAUAAAGGCUUUCCAUCAUCCUGUGGAAUUGGAACAAAGUGUGCUGAAGGUAAAGGAUCCUCUUCUCCUGCUUUAAAAUACAAAACAAGCACAAAAUGAAUCAAAGGGACAGUUUUGCUUCAGUGUUUUUCACAUAUUGCAACUAUUUAUUAACAUUUUAUAAUAUCCUAAAUAUAAGUCAGGAACUUUACAGACUGUGGACAUGAAUCCUCAUACUGCUGCCUCAGCUGGAAUUUAUCACAAUGCCUGAUUUACACCAGCUGAAGGUCCCUAGUUUUGGAUGAGGCUCAGAUGUUUCACCUCAACCCUAUGUUUGGCCCUAAGAGCUACUUUGUACAUUUAUAAACUUAUCUAAAUGUGACUGAUGACAUUUCCACAUGCCCAUCAGUACAUGUUUUCCUUCUCUCUUUCAAACCUGCUUAAAGUGAGAGAGACAAAAAUCCAGGAGAAGGGCUGCCUGCCUUUUUUAUCUAGGCUGCCAAGGGGCACAGUCAGGAGAAUGUAGAUGGAGCUCCUCCUCCCACUUUCAGGACAGAGAAUUAACACAGAUCUAGAUGGAGAAGCACAGGAAGGUGAAAAGCUUUUUGUCCUUCCCUCCUUUCCUUAUUCCUCUUCCCUUUUUAGAACAUCUAGUCUCCUUGAACUGAAGGACUGAUGUUUUUAUCUCCAUUUUUUCCUCCACUCCAUCAUGCAAAGAGUUAUUCCAAAAUCACUUGGCAGCUGUAAGACAAGCUAUUUCCUAACCCUCAAAAUAACUUUUGUUUUGAAUAGCUCCCAACUCCUUAAAAAUGCAUCCACAUGUAUGCAUGUUUUGCAUGGGAAAGAAAACUUAUAGAAGUAAAUGUUCAUGGUUAAUGACUGUUCAAGUCCUGUUAUAAUCAUUAUUAAAUUUGGGCUCAUUCUGUGUGGAAUGUUCUAGGUAUUAAUCAGUAUGUAUUUGUGAUGUAAAUUGUGCAAGCACUAUGGAAAGAGGCAGUCCUAAUCCCAAAUUUCUGCCAUACAGUCAGAAAGGGUGAGUUUGUUAGACCCCCAAGUUCGAAACAAGGAAGGGAAAUCUUUCCUUGCUGCAGUCUGAAAAGGCCUUUUAAAUAAUUUUUGGCUACCAGCCACAUAAACAGAAACACCAAGGCUGGCAUACACAAUACAAAAUAAAAUCAUGGGGGUGCAGUUUGCCCAGUUUUGUUUGACAGCCUUUCUUCACCAACUAGCUGAGGGUCAGUGCAUGUUGUUGCACACUUCUGUUACCUUUCAUCUGCUCACAGGCUGCCUGAGCACAGACUUGCCAGCAGUUUUCGUCCUAGCAGUGGUCCAUAGCAAGCUUGGUAACUUCCUUUACACUGUGGUUGCAAGCAAUCCUUGCCACCUUCAUUAAAACAGAGACAAUUUUGGUAUUUCUCUCUGAAAAUUCACUAGAGGCAUUACAGCAGGAGAAAUUAUACCAGUGAAAUAGACCUUGGAAAAGAAAAGAUAUCUGUGCUUGGUGAAAAACAGGGAGUGGCAAAUAAGGCUGGCCUUUUUUUUUGCAUUUAGACAUAAUGUUUCUUGUCUUUUCCAAAACACAAAAGAAGUAUGGAUAACCCUUCCAACACUUCCAUAGUAGGAAGUGUCUCUCUUCUUCAGGGCAUUAAGUGGAGAGAUUUCUUGCUGGAGAAUGAAUGAUGCAA